AGAGUUUGAUCAUGGCUCAGAACGAACGCUGGCGGCGGGGUUUAGGCAUGCAAGUCGCGGGAGAACGCCUUCGGGUUAGUACACCGGCGGAAGGGUGAGUACAAGUUCGUUAACGUACCCUGAGGACGCGGAUAAUUGACCGAAAGGUCUUGUAAUACGCGAUGGGACCACGGUUUCUUUGGAGACUGGGGUGAAAGGGCGGGGAUCCUGCGGGACCCGCUGCCUGAGGAGCGGACGAACUCCGAUUAGCUAUACCGUAGGGUAACGGCCUACGGUGGCGAUGAUCGGUAGCCGGCCUGAGAGGGUGGACGGCCACACUGGGACUGAGACACUGCCCAGACUCCUACGGGAGGCUGCAGUCGCGAAUCAUUCACAAUGGACGCAAGUCUGAUGAUGCCACGCCGCGUGCGGGAGGAAGGCCUUCGGGUUGUAAACCGCCGUUGCAAAGGGGGAAGGAUGUACGGUUAAUGGCCGUGCAUUUGACUGCCUUUAUGAGGAAGCCCCGGCUAAACACGUGCCAGCAGCCGCGGUAAUACGUGUGGGGCAAGCGUUGUUCGGAAUCACUGGGCAUAAAGGGUGCGUAGGCGGUCGCGUAAGUCAGGGGUGAAAGGCAAGGGCCCAACCGUUGCUCUGCCUCUGAAACUACGCGUCUCGAGUGUGCUAGGGGUGAGCGGAACGAGUGGUGUAGCGGUGAAAUGCGUAGAUAUCACUC
RNAcentral lists this ribosomal RNA (712 nucleotides) under uncultured Planctomycetota bacterium. RNAcentral's name for it is "bacterial SSU rRNA". It matches the Rfam family "Bacterial small subunit ribosomal RNA", at positions 8 to 702 of the family's 1533-position model. The record is from RNAcentral. Lineage: Bacteria; Pseudomonadati; Planctomycetota.